ACCCAGACUCCUACGGGAGGCAGCAGUGGGGAAUAUUGCACAAUGGGGGAAACCCUGAUGCAGCGACGCCGCGUGGAGGAAGAAGGUCUUCGGAUUGUAAACUCCUGUCCUUGGGGACGAUAAUGACGGUACCCAAGGAGGAAGCACCGGCUAACUACGUGCCAGCAGCCGCGGUAAAACGUAGGGUGCAAGCGUUAUCCGGAUUCACUGGGCGUAAAGGGAGCGCAGGCGGCAUGGCAAGUCUGAUGUGAAAACCCGGGGCCCAACCCCGGGAGUGCAUUGGAAACUGCCAGGCUGGAGUGUCGGAGGGGUAAGCGGAAUUCCUAGUGUAGCGGUGAAAUGCGUAGAUAUUAGGAGGAACACCAGUGGCGAAGGCGGCUUACUGGACGACUACUGACGCUGAGGCUCGAAAGCGUGGGGAGCAAACAGGAUUAGAUACCCCGGUACG
RNAcentral lists this ribosomal RNA (448 nucleotides) under uncultured bacterium. RNAcentral's name for it is "bacterial SSU rRNA". It matches the Rfam family "Bacterial small subunit ribosomal RNA", at positions 329 to 793 of the family's 1533-position model. The record is from RNAcentral.